GGUUGACCUCGGAUCAGGUAGGAAUACCCGCUGAACUUAAGCAUAUCAAUAAGCGGAGGAAAAGAAACCAACAGGGAUUGCCCUAGUAACGGCGAGUGAAGCGGCAACAGCUCAAAUUUGAAAUCUGGCCCUCGGGUCCGAAUUGUAAUUUGUAGAGGAUGCUUUUGGUGAGGUACCUUCCGAGUUCCCUGGAACGGGACGCCAUAGAGGGUGAGAGCCCCGUCUGGUUGGAUACCGAUCCUCUGUAAAGCUCCUUCGACGAGUCGAGUAGUUUGGGAAUGCUGCUCUAAAUGGGAGGUAUAUGUCUUCUAAAGCUAAAUAUUGGCCAGAGACCGAUAGCGCACAAGUAGAGUGAUCGAAAGAUGAAAAGCACUUUGAAAAGAGAGUUAAAAAGUACGUGAAAUUGUUGAAAGGGAAGCGCUCAUGACCAGACUUGGGCUUGGUUGAUCAUCCAGGGUUCUCCCUGGUGCACUCUUCCAGCCCAGGCCAGCAUCAGUUCGCUGUGGGGGAUAAAGGCUUUGGGAAUGUGGCUCCUCCGGGAGUGUUAUAGCCCAUUGUGUAAUACCCUGUGGUGGACUGAGGUUCGCGCAUCUGCAAGGAUGCUGGCGUAAUGGUCAUCAGCGACCCG
RNAcentral lists this ribosomal RNA (628 nucleotides) under Ilyonectria destructans f. sp. panacis. Its description in RNAcentral is "eukaryotic LSU rRNA". It matches the Rfam family "Eukaryotic large subunit ribosomal RNA", at positions 1 to 651 of the family's 3401-position model. The record is from RNAcentral. Lineage: Eukaryota; Fungi; Ascomycota; Sordariomycetes; Hypocreales; Nectriaceae.